RNAcentral lists this ribosomal RNA (498 nucleotides) under uncultured bacterium. RNAcentral's name for it is "partial 16S ribosomal RNA". It matches the Rfam family "Bacterial small subunit ribosomal RNA", at positions 30 to 523 of the family's 1533-position model. The record is from RNAcentral.
AUUGAACGCUGGCGGCAUGCCUUACACAUGCAAGUCGAACGGUAGCAGGUCUUCGGAUGCUGACGAGUGGCGAACGGGUGAGUAAUACAUCGGAACGUGCCCGAUCGUGGGGGAUAACGAAGCGAAAGCUUUGCUAAUACCGCAUAAGAUCUACGGAUGAAAGCAGGGGACCGCAAGGCCUUGCGCGAACGGAGCGGCCGAUGGCAGAUUAGGUAGUUGGUGGGAUAAAAGCUUACCAAGCCGACGAUCUGUAGCUGGUCUGAGAGGACGACCAGCCACACUGGGACUGAGACACGGCCCAGACUCCUACGGGAGGCAGCAGUGGGGAAUUUUGGACAAUGGGCGAAAGCCUGAUCCAGCCAUGCCGCGUGCAGGAUGAAGGCCUUCGGGUUGUAAACUGCUUUUGUACGGAACGAAAAGACUCUUUCUAAUAAAGGGGGUCCAUGACGGUACCGUAAGAAUAAGCACCGGCUAACUACGUGCCAGCAGCCGCAGUAA